Molecule: ribosomal RNA, 491 nt
Filed under: uncultured bacterium
Lineage: Bacteria
Description: partial 16S ribosomal RNA
Rfam family: Bacterial small subunit ribosomal RNA
Source: RNAcentral
GAUGAACGCUGUCUACAGGCUUAACACAUGCAAGUCGAGGGGAAACGACGGGGAAGCUUGCUUCCCCGGGCGUCGACCGGCGCACGGGUGAGUAACGCGUAUCCAACCUGCCUCUGACUGAGGGAUAACCCGUCGAAAGUCGGCCUAAUACCUCAUGGCAUCGUCUGCGGGCAUCCAACGACGAUUAAAGAUUUCAUCGGUCAGGGAUGGGGAUGCGUCUGAUUAGCUUGUUGGCGGGGUAACGGCCCACCAAGGCUACGAUCAGUAGGGGUUCUGAGAGGAAGGUCCCCCACAUUGGAACUGAGACACGGUCCAAACUCCUACGGGAGGCAGCAGUGAGGAAGAUUGGUCAAUGGGCGGGAGCCUGAACCAGCCAAGUAGCGUGCAGGAUGACGGCCCUAUGGGUUGUAAACUGCUUUUAUGCGGGGAUAAAGUGAGGGACGUGUCCUUCAUUGCAGGUACCGCAUGAAUAAGGACCGGCUAAUUCCGUG